Molecule: unclassified non-coding RNA, 263 nt
Filed under: plant metagenome
Description: partial contains small subunit ribosomal RNA, internal transcribed spacer 1, and 5.8S ribosomal RNA
Source: RNAcentral
UUUCCGUAGGUGAACCUGCGGAAGGAUCAUUAUUGUAUAACCGAGGUGCGAGGGCUGUCGCUGACCCGAAAGGUCGUGCACGCCCGAGUGCCCUCACACACAUCCAUCUCACCCCUAUGUGCACCACCGCGUGGGUCCCCCUUUGGCUUGUUCGGAGGGGGGCUUACGUUUUCACACAAACUUUGUAUGCAGUGUAGAAUGUAUUUUUUGUUUUUGCGAUCACGCAAUCAAUACAACUUUCAACAACGGAUCUCUUGGAUCUC